UCUUUCUUAGUACUUUAUUUUAGUUACAUGUAGAAAACUUGGUUGGUAGCUAGAUCACAGAUACCAUUUCAGCCAUUCUCAGAGCUUUCAGGUCAUACAAAGGGGAAUUCAGUAGAUAUGGCUUAUGCUAGUGUUGCUUCUUGAGAUCCAAAUUUGUGACUACAGAGAAGAAUUUCUCGCUCGUCGUGAAGAAGUUAGUUAGUUCCUUACAAAUAUUUCUCAAGAGCUUAUGAGAAAAGCAAGGAUUCUGGGGAAAUGAUAGAUUUGGUAGCACAAAUAAAAGAAGCUGCGAAUGUUGUUGACGCACAAUUCAAUUGAGGCUAACAAAAGCUCUAUUGUCAAAUGAUAUAAUGCAGAAAGAAAAGGCACAUGAAACGCUUUGUGUUAGCCUGCAACAAGUAGAAGGAGAUAUUGAUCGAGUCCAGAAAGAGUCGAUAAAGAUUCAAGAUAAAGGAAAACAAACAUCAAACAAAUCUUUGGUUCAAGAUUCAAGUUCAGCAAAACAUAUUCUACUUAUUAAGAACAACAUGGUGGGACGUAAUGAUGAAACAAGAUCGUUAGAAGAUCUGACUAGAAUCUUCUUUGGUGAACCCAAAGUCAUCAUGAUUGUCGGCAUGGGAUGUAUCGGUAAGACAAAAGUAGGGAAAGAAGUUUUCAAUGAUUUAUUUAUUCGAUCUCAUUUUGACGUUUGUGCAUGGCAUGAAGUGAGAGAAUGCUUUCCAAGUCAAAAACAAUGGGAGUCGAAUAUUGUUGAUCACCCUUUCCUUAAACUAAAAAGAGUCGACGGACUCUUCUAUUCUACUCUCUAUGGGAAUUCGAAGCUGUGAGGACGACCCGCGCACUUAGUUCCUUUCGUUCCUGGAGAAGGGCCUUUUUCCUCUCUUCCAGCCUACGAAUGUGGUUCCGGAUCUCUUGCAUCAUAUUUGCUACGGCCUCAGGGUCAAGAGGAGGCAAAUGUACCCACUCUCUUCCAAACCGCGAAUAUGAUUCCGGAUCUCUUGCAUCACAUUUGCUACGGCCUCAAGGUCGAGAGGAGGCAAAUGCUCCCCGUCUUUUCCAGACCGAGAAUGUGGGAAUGUGGUUGCGGAUCUCUUGCAUCAUAUUUGCUAUGGUCUCAGGGUCGAAAGGAGGCAAAUGCUCCCAGAACAGUCCUAGCCUUUGUUCCGAUUGGAGCUCGUAAUGAUGAAGUAGCUUGUUAUGCUAGUACGGAGAAUUUUUUUUUACAGAUGGGCUUCAUGAAUCCAAAUGAGAGUUGGAACCUUUUUUAAAGCGUGGUGUUUGCAAAUGAAAUAACACCAUAUGAAUUCGAGACUAUUGGCAAGCAAAUUGUAGACAAAUGUCAAGGGUUACCACUAACUAUUAUUGUGGGCCUGUGGUUCCUGGGCUUCUAUCCAAAUUUGGAAGGAGAAUAAAAGAUUGGGAAGCUGAAAAUGUCUAAGUCAUUUGUCAGUAUUGAUCCUGAUGAACAAUGUUUAUAUGUGCUUGGGUUUGAGUUACAAUCACUUGAUCAGUGACCUAAAAGCAUGCUUUCUGUAUUGUUGGAUAUUUCCCGAAGACAAUGUGAUUUCAGCGUAGAGAUUGGUGAGAUUAUGGAUGGCUGAGGGGUUUCUGAAGUUGGAAAAGACUUGAAAGGAGAGGCUGAAGAAGUAUUUACAAGAUCUUAUCGAUAGAUGUCUAGUUAUCGUAUGCAAGAAUUGUAGGUAUGAAACAAAAAUUAAUUCAUGUAAUGUUCAUGAUCUAAUAUUCGAGCUGUGUUUGAGAGAACUUCAAAGCCAAAACAACUUUUUCGUCAUGAAUGACAUUGUAUUCGGUUAUUGGGAUGCAGAAAAAGCUCAAAGCCAUGAUAUUGUAUUUGAUGAUGAGCCAAAUCCUGAUCCUUCAGAAUGUCAUCAUCUUAGUAGGUAUAAAAUGCGGCCUUUUAAGCAAUGGGCUGAUGAUAAUAGGUACUUUGAUUUUUAUAGGGCCAUUCCUACCCCUGGAAAUCAUCAGUUGAUUAGGAGGCAAAAGAUAAUGAUGAAAACAACCUCUUCAAACGAACUCGUUCUAUUUUCUCUUGUCCUACCUUAUCAGAAAACCAAAAAAGAGAAAUAUUCGGUUCUUAUAGGUUUUCUUUAUCAUUUACUCUCAACUCAGAGCUUUGUCAUGUCAAUUUACUCAGAAUCUUGGACUUUAAGUUGUUUGAAAGCUGCUUGUGGAGUAUCCAAUUGCAAGGGGAUUUACUUGUUUGGUGUUUUUGCGAAUUGAGAUGAUUGAUCUGAUGUACCGGAAAACCACUUAUGACAAUUUUCCUGUCAUUAUUAGAAAUUGCAAUAAUUUGGAAGAGAUACCCAUUGAGUUUGCAGAUAUCAACUCACUACAACUAAUUGAGAUAAAAUGGUGUGAGCCCGAAAUCGAGGCCAUUGAGCUCCUCUUUGCCUGUCUGCUUCAGGCGGAAGAGAUGGCUCAGACAUCAUGCUGAGAAUUCUCCUAUUUUCAUGUAGUUAGAAUAUCUUGGUAAGUAUGAUAUUGGAGCUAAUAUCCUCCCAUUCUGUAACUCAUUCACAACAACAACGACGACCAAUUGUAUUCCACCAAGUGGAGUCUGAGGAGGGUGAGAUGUACGCAAUCUUACCCCUACUCUGGACGGGCAGAGAGGCUGUUUUCGAUAGACCCUCAGCUCUGUAACUCAUUCAUCCCUAGACCAAAUAUUGCAAUGGGUUCUUUGGUAGCGUUACAUGUUUGUCUCAACCCAAGCUUAGGUGAGAAUUCGUCACUCGUCACCAUAAGGUCACGAGCUCAAGCAGUACAAACAGUCUCUUGCAGAAAUGUAAGAUAAGGUUGCGUCCAAAUAAUCCAAUAUAUCCAAUGUGGUCCGGUGAUUCUUCAGGCCUCGCACAUAGCAAGAGUUUAGUACAUCGGAUUGUCCUCUUGAUAGGCUCGAAAAUCUCAUCCGGAGCUAGAAAAUAUUUUUAUGGAUCAAUAAGCAAUGUGUAGUGUCAUCAUCUGAUAAAUGUGAAAUUAGUAGUUACUUUUAACAAAACGAUUCCUCAUUUUGAUUAUCGUUUAAUUUACAGGCAAGCACUUGUAGUCUUACAUUGUAAGAGAGAGUUAACAUGAUGUCAUAGUAAAGGAAGAAUCUAA
This is a long non-coding RNA of Nicotiana attenuata, 3120 nucleotides long. RefSeq lists it as uncharacterized. NCBI's taxonomy places the organism in Eukaryota, Viridiplantae, Streptophyta, Magnoliopsida, Solanales, Solanaceae. The record is from RefSeq and is a predicted model, not a curated record. The transcript is spliced from 3 exons.